Molecule: long non-coding RNA, 208 nt
Filed under: Mytilus galloprovincialis (Mediterranean mussel)
Lineage: Eukaryota; Metazoa; Mollusca; Bivalvia; Mytilida; Mytilidae
Source: RNAcentral
GGUGUCUUUCGCCUCAUUUGUUCGUAAAAUCUAAUCACAAAAUUCGUGCGAUAAAAAGUUGGAAAAAAAAACAUUACAAUAAUAGCCGGACCAAUGUAUGGUAUGGACAUGCAAAUAGGGACUGUCAUACAGAAAACAGCCUAUAUUACAUACAUUACAUAAUCUUGAUGUUCAUAUAAACCCAAUACGAAGGCUAUUUUAAUAUUCA